Talpa occidentalis (Iberian mole) is the source of this 161-nucleotide small nuclear RNA. RefSeq annotates it as U1 spliceosomal RNA. The record is from RefSeq and is a predicted model, not a curated record. Lineage: Eukaryota; Metazoa; Chordata; Mammalia; Eulipotyphla; Talpidae. The transcript has a single exon.
AUACAAACCUGACAGUGGAGACACUGUGAUCACAAAGGCGGUUUUCCCAGGGCAGGUUCAUCCACUUCAUUCCAGGUAUACUGGCCCCUGCAAUUUCCUCCACUGCAAGAAACUCUGCUGUAUAAUCUGCAGUAGUAGGGGACUGUUCACACUCUCCCCUG